UCACUUUCAGUUUCAGGUUUUGUCUGCCACCGCUUUGACUCUCUCUUCUUGCCACUGUUUGUUCUAGAAAAAUCAUGUCGAGUGCUUCGCCCUGCUUCAUCUUCCCCUAUGAUUCUCCCCGUAUCAAUCAGCCUCGCCUUCGCCUUGCUCUGCCUCCACCCCUAUCCCUUGCCAUGAAUUCUUCCCCAGAUGAGCCUAGGGGUUGUCGCAUUUUGAUCAAGGAGAGAGAAGAGGAAAUACGAGGUCGGGUCGUCGCCGGCGGCACCAAGCUGACCAUAUAGCCAGCAUGUUCAUCCCCCACACCAAGAUUUUGGGAAUCAGAUCUGUAACAUGCCGGUCAAAUAGACCGUCACCGCCCCGAGCCGUAGACCUCCAUCUUCCCCGACCAGCUCCCAUCCAUGCCCUCCAGCACCAUCGGGUUUCCUCUGUGCCCCCAACAACACAGGCGAGCCCCUUGUCCUCUCUCUGCAUGUGUACCCCUAUCUAUGCCGCCUGUGCUCUAUGUAGGAGCAGGUGGAGCGGCCGCGGCCGGCGCACGCCCAUGAGGAGCCCGUGCCUGGAUUCGUGGGGUGUCUGUUACCUGAGGUCGUCGGUGUUGAAGGAGGAACAGGGCCGGCAACCAGAACAGGAGCUACAUGAGAUCCAUAACGAUCCCACUGAAUGUAGAGAUUAUCUAGCCAAAGGAUGGUAACCUGAGUACAAGUAUGUCUGCAGAAGAAAGAUACCUUUCCACAAGUUAUGGAGAUCUUAACAAGAAAAUAGGAUAGCCGAUUGAUGAAUUUUUCUUAGGUUUCCAUUUCAAAAAAUCGCUAUUCCCUCCUGCUAAGAUAUGUGAACAAGUACUUGGUGAGAAGACGGUACAAACGAGUAAGAUGCUUCUGUUAACUUUGAUUUGUUACUCUUCAGUUUUUCUUCUUUGGCAAACUACGCUUGAUAAAUAUUCAUUGACUUAUGUAUUUACCUAUUCAAUCUAUAUCUUUUCAGAUAACUUUUUGCCUUCAUAUUUUUCGUAGGAGGACGUAUAUCGUUCACUUUAUAGUUGUGGAAUUGAGUCAACUUACUAUUCUUUUUAUUGAUACUAAACAACUAUUAUGUUGGGGUUAAGAUCUUUCAUCAAUAUCUUACUAUUUUUCCUUCGGCGCACGCGUUGAGAUGCAUGAUUAAAAAAAGAUAAUUGUUGUCUAUACAUAUGUGCUCAUCUAAUAAAAUCCUUGGUCUAAAACAUCAGAAAGCAGAAGUACAAAUGUAAGAAUAUGUUCAUGCCCGUGGUCUUCAUGAAAGAUACUGUGCUUCUACUCUACUCAGAUAACUUAUUUAACUUACAAAAUUUCUCCACCCAAGAUGAAGAUGUUAGUGAAAGCAUAUUGACUAUUGAGUCAUAUCUAUUUUAUCUUCAUGGUUUGCAGGUUUUAAUUUUCCAGUGUAGCUAUAAUUGAAUAGUAAUUCAGAUGAUGCGUACCAAAGCUCUUUAUAACCAUAUAACCCUUCUGACCUUUUUUUUUUUUGGUAGACUUAGUGAAACUACAUGCUCGGUACUAGGAGCUUGCCUGCUUUAUCACUAUGCAUAAUUAUUAAUUGCUAAUUAGCCUACGCGAAGUCUUUAAAAACCCAUAGGAUGACAUGCCUGCUUUCAUAUUUGAUGCAUCAUGUUUAUUCUGUUUAGGUGAGAGCAUUUCAUAUUUCUGGCAUUAGCUUUACAGUAAGCAGAAGAAAGUACCAGGCCUUGUGCAUUAGUCCCUUCAGCAAUUAUCAUGCUUUCAAAUGAGUGGAUGCAAGGCACACAGGUGGCCGGCUGCUGCUGCUGCUGCUCUCUCUCUCUCUCUCACCUUGUGUUGCUCUUCGUAGGAUGACGUCAUGGCUGAGAUGUGCAUGCAGGGAGGGAUAGUCGUGGACAGGGUGGGUCGACCACAAGAUCUCCGAGGGCUUGGCCUAGACAACCUGGGAGGGUCGGCGAUGUCCACAAGGAGGAGUCCGCGAGCAAGGAUGGUCACACCGUCAAGUCUGCUCCGGAGACCGCCUAGCUUGCCGCCUCCGGGACGACAAGCGGAAAGGGAGGGGACACAAAGGAGGUGGCGGAGAAGUUCGGGCAGACCAAGGACACGGCAAGGGAGGCACUGAGAGGGUCAUCGGGCGAGCCUGUUGUGCUCCUUGGCCCACUCCAAUUUGCUCACCCUUCUCUUCUUGUUCUCUUUGGUAUGGCUCUGCUGAUAGGAUCUUUUUUUCCCUCAUAGAUUGAUGAUUGAAGUAUUUGCUUUUCUCUCCUCUUUUGUAUGUUCAAAUUAGAUAUAUUUAUCUUGCUUUCAUACCGUCAAGGGUGGCUUCACCAUAAAGCUCCGUUCUCCUGGAAUUUAUAUCCUCAAAAUAUUCAACUCAUGGUUUAUUUGUUUUUAGAGCUUCUUAUUUAAAGCAUUUGAGUUGCUUAAUUAGUCAUGUAAUGCCAGAUAUUAUGCUUAUGGCUUAUAGGUCGGCAGAUAUGCUUAUUAAACAUUGAUUUUCCUGAGUCCUGAGUUCUCAUGUUAACGAGAGGUGCAUUUUGAAUAAUUUCCAGUAAAUAAAUGUGUGGGAGCACGGAAGUAAACUUUGUUUCUGGGUCUGCUUGCAAAUUUCAUAUUGUUCUCUGAAUCUUUUAGGUAAUCAUGGCAUACUUUCUCUGAAGGAAAUUUUUGGAUUAACCGUUUACUUGGGUGCAUUUAAUACAGGAGGACUUUAUAGUGUUUUUCACAAUUAUUCUUGCCAACAUAUAAUCCUAUGGCUUUCAUGUAUGGUCACGUUUUAUGUGGGUGAGAUUUGUAUAUGCAUAUAUAGGAUUAUUAUGAACAUCAUGAUGCAUGUUUCAAACUGGAGGUUUCAUGCCAAUUCUUCUUGUGCAUUUAGGUGAGGGCUUAAUCUUACAUAAGGGAUUGUAUUUAUGCAUUUUUAUGUAAUCAUUGGUUCAACUGGGUUUGAUAAAAUUAUGCUUGAUAAUUACUCUUUUGAUUAAAGCAUUUUCUCUACAGUCCAGUAUGAGCUAAUUUAUUCUUGUGUGUUCGUGAUAGUUUUUGUUGUCGCGCCUAUUUUUAUGUAACCAGGCUUGGAAAGGAUUUGUUGGAGGCAAGUCGAUGUAUUUGGGUACUGUUUGGUACACUUUGACAUACAUGUUGGCUUCUUGCUUUCGCUUAACUGUUCUGCAUUGUUCUCAAAUUAAUUCCCUUAAGUGUUGGAUUUUGUAAAUGCUGCCACUAUCAUUGGGGAUAGUUUGCUGAUGAUAAUCAACCGGUAAUUUACUAUUAUGUACAUUAUGCUAAUUUAUCUCAAUGGUUCGUGGUAUGUAUCUUGACUCAUCUACUGUCAAUUUGCAUCCAUGGCGUGGAGGAGUUGUUGAAUGCCCUUCCAAGACACUUUAAUCCGAGCCGAAGGUUUCUCUUGAAAGGUAACAGCAAGUUUGACGUCAUCAAGGCGGGCUUGGGCUUAUUCUUCAGCAUCAACACACCAUCGCACCGUUCAACAAGAUGUCGAGGAGAGAAUUGGACGCUGCCGCUAUGAUCAGGAGCCGCCAGGGCAUUGUUCGCCUCCCAUGUCUACUCAAUAAACGGGGCAUCAACAUUGAUUUUUGUGUAGUUAGUAAUUGGACGAAGCCAAAGCCAACCUUUAGCAGAAUAAGAAAUAGAGGUUGAGUUUAUAGGAGCCUGAUGUAAAAUACGAGCGCCGAACAGAGCCUGACUUUUCUCUAUUCAAUGAAAACAGAGUUGACACUUAUGAAUA
Molecule: long non-coding RNA, 3741 nt
Organism: Lolium perenne
Lineage: Eukaryota; Viridiplantae; Streptophyta; Magnoliopsida; Poales; Poaceae
Source: RefSeq, a predicted model, not a curated record